CAAUUUCAUAAGAAAUUUUUUUACCGUUGAAUAUCUCGUGAUUCUUCACUGAGAGGAUGCAACAUUUUUCACUAUGGCGAUUCUUCAUUGAGCGUCUUGAUCAACGUCUCUCGUAUCUCUCGCGAUUCUUCACUUCGCGCUUUUCCAAUCAAUUUCAGAAUCAUUUACGAUACUGUAAUAAUUGAUAUGAGUGGUGUGAUCAUCAACAAAUUGAGAUUGCAAAGUCUUAAUCAACUUUCUGCCAAUAGAUUCUAGCAUAUGAAGCUUUUUUGAUAUUAUUACCUACAGAACAGGAGCAGGAAGAAAACCGACCCAUGAUUUUCUGUCACUCUACAAUAAUUCAACUGUUGAACAAGAUCCAAGGCCCUCUGCUCAAGGUUUUUCAAUGUCAUCUAAAGAAUUACAUUUGUGCAGCCCAAUAAGGACUUGAAUUUGCAGUUUAAUUUGCUUGAUCGUUAGUGGAUUACUGCAGGUCCCUACUUCUCAUGGCAGUUAUGCGAGAAAUUUCUACAACCUUGCACUCCCACUCAAAACCUCACACUUCUCUUUUUUAAUGUCUCUUCCUUUGUAGAAAGACUUCCCAGAUUUUUGUUAAAGGUUUCCAUUUUGACUGGUACUACCGCUCGUCUGUAUAAGAAGGAUGAACGACUUCAACACAUUCUAUAUGCAAGUUGUGUUUGAAGUAUUGAAGCAUCUUUAUAGACUGUUUAAUGCCAUAUUAAAGGUUUCCUCAAGUGGUUCCCCAAUUAUAGAUUGGUAAGGCAGGGCAGUGGCUCUUAAUGUUGGGAGCAAGGCAGAGCAGUGCUGAAAUUGUGUGACACUUCAUGUUGUAACCAUAAUUUAUUCUCAGUUAGAAAAUAGUUAUACCUAUAUUUGACGUAAUUGAUCUCAAAUUUCUCCCUAACUAUGUUACAUUAUUUUUAUAAAAUAGAUUAUAAAUUUAUUAAUUUAAAAGAACUUUCAAAAGUAAUUUCAAUAGUUUCAAAUUAUGUAUGUGUUGUAUAUCAUGUUUUAGGAUUAGUUGGGAAUUAGGUAAGAAAUAGAUAUGUUGCUAGGGAAUCAGAAUUUUGUACAAUGUUUACUGUGAAUUAGCUUGAGAUUUGCUUUUGAUUA
Cicer arietinum (chickpea) is the source of this 1113-nucleotide non-coding RNA. NCBI's taxonomy places the organism in Eukaryota, Viridiplantae, Streptophyta, Magnoliopsida, Fabales, Fabaceae. The record is from RefSeq and is a predicted model, not a curated record.